This 466-nucleotide ribosomal RNA is filed under the name uncultured bacterium. RNAcentral's name for it is "bacterial SSU rRNA". It matches the Rfam family "Bacterial small subunit ribosomal RNA", at positions 328 to 792 of the family's 1533-position model. The record is from RNAcentral.
UCGCCAGACUCCUACGGGAGGCAGCAGUGAGGAAUAUUGGUCAAUGGCCGAGAGGCUGAACCAGCCAAGUCGCGUGAGGGAAGACGGUCCUACGGGUUGUAAACCUCUUUUGUCGGGGAGCAAAGCGAGUCACGUGUGACUCAUUGAGAGUACCCGAAGAAAAAGCAUCGGCUAACUCCGUGCCAGCAGCCGCGGUAAUACGGAGGAUGCGAGCGUUAUCCGGAUUUAUUGGGUUUAAAGGGUGCGCAGGCGGAGGUGCAAGUCAGCGGUCAAAUUGCGGGGCUCAACCCCGUACUGCCGUUGAAACUGGCGAACUCGAGAGGGAGAGAAGUAGGCGGAAUGCGCAGUGUAGCGGUGAAAUGCAUAGAUAUUGCGCAGAACUCCGAUUGCGAAGGCAGCCUACCGGCUCCUGUCUGACGCUGAGGCACGAAAGCGUGGGUAUCGAACAGGAUUAGAUACCCUAGUA